CUCCACAGAAGAAAUGUAUGCAGAGUUUCAUUUUUCCAUAGUGCUGCUUUGCAUGCUGCGCAUGGAUGAUGUAAAUCAAUGUGUAUUAACAGAGGAUUUUCUUGCCAAAGUUCCUCCGUUUCACAAGUGUGUUUGUUUGUAUCCUGCCCCUUAUAAUGUCAAGUGUUUCAAGUGAAAGAUAGAAGAGGAUUCCUGCAGUUUCUGCUGAAUGUGAAGUAUUUCAGCAAUAAUGCUGUUUUCUCCUUUUUUGUUUUCCAGAUAUUUGUGGAUUCAGGGCUUGUGCAGACAACAGACAAAGAGGAUGCUGAGUCCUCCAAGUACUACUAGGGAAGAAAGAGACUCUGGCUCAUGGAGGUCUCUCCAGGCAGAAAGAAGCAAAGACAAUUUUCCAGGAAAGUUUUCCAAGCAGUAAUUUAGUUCUGAGCAAACCCUUUUUAAACACCGUUUUUCUGAAGGGCCAGAAGCAAGAUGAGGGGACAAAAUGAAUAGCCUAAUUAGCAAGCUGAAUACAGCACUAGUCUGGCAUCUGAAAUGAGUGUACACUGCUUGCUGGACGAGAAAUUCACUUCAAGGCCUCUUCCGCUGUUUAGUGUGAAAUGCAUGAACUGUCCUGUGAAAAGGAGAUGGAUCCAGAACUUUCUCCAAGGUAGAAGUCAUGUUACCACAGGAAAGCAGUCUCACCAUUUGAAGUAAAUUGAUGUUAAAGAGUCCUCUUGAAAGGAUAGCUGCCUAUGACUGAAACGAACAAGAAAACCAUGAAAUGAUUGGAAAUGUGAUACUUGUAAAGUGAAAUCUGUCCCAAGACAGCACUAUUAUACAAACUCCUUGUAAGGACACGCAAGUACACAUAGGAGUGUGAUCAGAUACCAAGUUAGGGAGAGGGAAUUAAGUUAUGGGGUGGAAGGUGAAGGGUUGUACCAAGAUUCACUGUUCUGUGGCUGACCAAAUGGGUUUGACUGAAUUUUGUCAGGAAUGUAAGUAAGUCCUUUAGACUAAAACAAUCUCAGACAUGAUUCAGAGGGAGUUUUGAAGCCUGCAAAGUGCAUAUUACUUAAUUGCAAUGAAUUAACAAGACAGCAGUAUGUCUAAGAUUUCAUCCAGCUUCCUUGAGUUCACAAAGUAAAGGUUAGGUACCCCUUGGCAUGGGGAUCACAUGUGGGGACAUCCUCCACAGGUCCCAGGUUUGGACUUCCACAUCCUGCACAGCGCUGCAAAGUCUUUUUUGCUGCCACCAUACUCAACACUUAAUAAGAGAACAGGUUGAAAACUUCACAUCCUAAAGUAAAGUAAAGUCUUAGGCCUAGAGUUUUGGAGAUAUUUAAUGGCCUUGAUAUUUCAGGGGUAUUCACAUUGAACCUUGAUUGCAUAAUUGCAUGAAGAUGUAUGUCAGUUAAACUGCAAACAUCAGUGGCAUCUGAAAUCCAAGAUGGGCCAUGAAAUCUUCCUGUUAUGAACAGCUGUGGAUUUAGAGCAGAAAUGGUCACCUAUAAAUUAACUGUGUGAAACAGACGGAACUUAGUCAAGUAGAUCAGCUUCAGUUCCCUAGGUACAUAGCCUGGGGAAGUCAUAGGGAGUAUGGCAGCAUUAAUUGGUUUAUGCUGUAAAUUAUUCCCAGCCUUAAAGCCUUUAGGCUUUACUACUACUCAUUAGCUGGAUUUAUUUUCAUUAUUCUGGUGAGGCCCACAAGGUGGUUAUCAUCCUGACUGCCUCAUGUAUGAGAGUUUCCAUGCCAGGCCUGAGUACAGCUGCUCUGUUUCAUGGCCAGCAAAAUGUUAAGGGCACACCACAGAGCAAUUCAUGGCACAGCAAUAAAUACGCAGAUUUAAGUGAUAAGAUCA
Cyanistes caeruleus (blue tit) is the source of this 1838-nucleotide long non-coding RNA. NCBI's taxonomy places the organism in Eukaryota, Metazoa, Chordata, Aves, Passeriformes, Paridae. The record is from Ensembl.